RNAcentral lists this long non-coding RNA (1075 nucleotides) under Eucalyptus grandis. RNAcentral's name for it is "long non-coding RNA (EGRA_LNC004610)". Lineage: Eukaryota; Viridiplantae; Streptophyta; Magnoliopsida; Myrtales; Myrtaceae. The record is from RNAcentral.
GGUUGAGCAAACUUCUCGGUUUUGUCUCGCAAUUUCUCGGUUUUGUCUACGGCCUUGGUUUUGCUCCGGCCGUGAUUGGCGGGGGUCUGUGUAGCGAUUUGUACAUGUGAUGUGAGGUUUGCCUGGAUCUUGAGGUUGCCGCCGGGUGGAAGGUUGUGUUGCGCGUAGUGGUAGACGCUGGUUGCCCGUGUAUUUUCUGGAUCUUGUAAUUAUGGGGUUCUCUGUUUUGUACAUGAUGGGGGCAAGAAGUGAAAGGAGCAAACUUUGUCCAUAUUCUGUGUUUAGUGUUUAGUGAGGCAAUGCUUUCUGACGUACCCAGCUUGGGUGCCAUUCUUGUAAAGAUUUAAAGAUUGUAGUUCCUGCCUGGUGCCUUUGUUUGGUAUUUGUUGCACGAGUAAUUUGAACUUAAAUACUAAAUAGUUUGAUGCACCUACGAAAUAUGCGAAAUAUGCGGACUUGCACCUAUUCAAAUAUGCGAAAUAUGCGGACUUGCACCUAUUCUUUUGUUGGGUUAAUUUCAGUGAUUUGGACUAAAACUUAUGACCAAAAAAAACACUAAAACCGUUUUGUGAGAUGUCUUAUCGUGCAUCUAAUCUUUAAUCCUGCUAAUGAUUAACAAUAAACUGGGUGUAUGGCUUGUUUUAAAUGGCGACAUCUGUUUCAUGUAUUCUCCAAGUUAUUUCCUGAGAUUGACGAACACACUCAAUUUUGUCUGUUUAUUUGUACUGGUUUGGCAUCCUUGUAUAGAUUUCCGAAAUUGGUUUAUUAUCGAUCGGAUUUGAUGGUGCCGAAAAAUUGUCAUAUUGGCUGCUGAUGCUAGCCUUUUUAGAUGUUCACUAGCAACAGGUAGAAAUAAUGUUAUCUACCUCUGCCUAUGUUGUUUUUUCUGCUGGUUGGGGGGUGAGUGGAUUGAUUGGACCUGAAUGUGUCGGUUCUUUCAUGUGGAAAGAACAAGAAAACUUGUCUUAUUGCGACCAAUGCUUUAUGAUAAUGCUUGGUCGUGCUUGCUUCUUGGUUUCCUGGUCCCCUGGUUUCCUGUCUCUGUGCUAAAUGUCUUCUGGUGCUUUAAAGCUCC